CCCGUAACCACAAUUAAACACCAAUUGUUCGCCAAACAACUACGAGCUAUACUUAAAACUUAAAAGACUUGACGGUACUUCAUCACGGCCUAGAGGAGCCUGUCUAAUAACCGACAAUCCACGAUUAACCCAACCCCUUCUUGCCCAACAGUCUAUAUACCGCCGUCGCCAGCUUACCUUGUAAAAGAAAUAAAGUGAGCUAAAUAAUACAACACUAAAACGACAGGUCGAGGUGUAACUUAUGGAGGGGUCAAGAUGGGCUACAUUCUCUACGAGAAUACGAAUAACACUAUGAAAUUAGUGCUUGAAGGCGGAUUUAGCAGUAAGCUAAGAAUAAAAUACUUAACUGAACAUAACGCAAUGAAGUGCGUACACACCGCCCGUCAUCCCUGCC
RNAcentral lists this ribosomal RNA (394 nucleotides) under Gloydius brevicauda (short-tailed mamushi). RNAcentral describes it as "partial small subunit ribosomal RNA". The record is from RNAcentral. Lineage: Eukaryota; Metazoa; Chordata; Lepidosauria; Squamata; Viperidae.